GAGGGUAUAGCUCAAGUGGUAGAGCACAUGCUUAGCAUGCACAAGGUCCUGGGUUCAAUCCCCAGGACCUCCU
This 73-nucleotide transfer RNA is filed under the name Camelus bactrianus (Bactrian camel). It matches the Rfam family "tRNA". From Rfam's summary of the family: Transfer RNA (tRNA) molecules are approximately 80 nucleotides in length. Their secondary structure includes four short double-helical elements and three loops (D, anti-codon, and T loops). The record is from Rfam by way of RNAcentral. RNAcentral also lists the same sequence under 3 other names. Lineage: Eukaryota; Metazoa; Chordata; Mammalia; Artiodactyla; Camelidae.